This 399-nucleotide ribosomal RNA is filed under the name Triticum aestivum (bread wheat). RNAcentral's name for it is "partial small subunit ribosomal RNA". The record is from RNAcentral. Lineage: Eukaryota; Viridiplantae; Streptophyta; Magnoliopsida; Poales; Poaceae.
AUGGAGUCACAGGAAUGCGUCUUGUGCAGGAAGGGAGGUUCACCUCAAAGCAGUGGUCCAAGCACUACCGGCCUACUCCAUGAGUUGUCUUACAUUCACAAAAGGUUUAUGCUGCAAAGUCAUGAGGCCAACUCCACCGCGCGACCCCAUCCUGUCCGCGCGCGUCCGUUUGGGGUGAAAUGGAUGAACCAGACGGCCGUUUGGGGUGAAAUGGAUGAACCAGACGGCCCAGCGCGUGGGCGCAAACGGACCGCGCGGCCACAUCUUGUCCGCGCGCGUCCGUUUGGGGUGAAAUGGACGAACCAGAUGGCCCAGCGCGUGGGCGCAAACGGAUUUUCAUCUGUUUUCUGUCCGCUUUCGACCCAUCCCCGGCCCAAGUUUGCGCCGCUUUUGGGGUGA